GAUGAACGCUGGCGGCGUGCUUAACACAUGCAAGUCGAACGGUGAAGCAGGAGCUUGCUCUUGUGGAUCAGUGGCGAACGGGUGAGUAACACGUGAGCAACCUGCCCCUGACUCUGGGAUAAGCGCUGGAAACGGCGUCUAAUACUGGAUAUGUGAUGUGACCGCAUGGUCUGCAUCUGGAAAGAAUUUCGGUUGGGGAUGGGCUCGCGGCCUAUCAGCUUGUUGGUGAGGUAAUGGCUCACCAAGGCGUCGACGGGUAGCCGGCCUGAGGGGGUGACCGGACACACUGGGACUGAGACACGGCCCAGACUCCUACGGGAGGCAGCAGUGGGGAAUAUUGCACAAUGGGCGGAAGCCUGAUGCAGCAACGCCGCGUGAGGGAUGACGGCCUUCGGGUUGUAAACCUCUUUUAGCAGGGAAGAAGCGAAAGUGACGGUACCUGCAGAAAAAGCACCGGCUAACUACGUGCCAGCCGCCGCAGUAA
This 484-nucleotide ribosomal RNA is filed under the name uncultured bacterium. Its description in RNAcentral is "partial 16S ribosomal RNA". It matches the Rfam family "Bacterial small subunit ribosomal RNA", at positions 28 to 523 of the family's 1533-position model. The record is from RNAcentral.